CCUUAAACGAUGCCGACAGGAGUUUGUCAUUUGUUAAUGGCAGAAAUCUUUGGAGAAAAUCAUAGUUCUUGGGCUCUGGGGGGAACUACGACCGCAAGGCUGAAACUUGAAGGAAUUGACGGAAGGGCACACCAGGGGUGGAGCCUGUGGCUUAAUUUGAAUCAACACGGGGAAACUUACCAGGACCAGAUGUUUUUUAUGACUGACAGGCUUCGGGUCUUUCAGGAUAUUGUUUUUGGUGGUGCAUGGCCGUUGGUGGUGCGUGGGUUGACCUGUCUAGCGUUGAUUCAGCUAACGAGCGAGAUUAUCGCCAAUUAUUUACUUUGCCGAAGUCCUUCGGUUAAAGUUCUAAUUGGGACUCCCUGCGAUUUUAGCAGGUGGAAGAGGGUAGCAAUAACAGGUCCGUGAUGCCCUUUAGAUGCUCUGGGCUGCACGCGUGCUACAAUGUUAGGAUCAAUAGGACUGCGAGCCUGAGAGGGUGCGCUACUCUUAUAAUCCCUAACGUAGUUGGGAUUGACGUUUGUAAUCAGCGUCAUGAACCAGGAAUCCCUUGUAAAUGUGUGUCAACAACGCACGUUGAAUACGUCCCUGCCCUUUGUACACACCGCCCGUCGCUCCUACCGAUUGGAUGACUCGGUGAAAUCACCGGAUGCUUACGAGCAGAAAGUGAUUAAAUCACGUUAUCUAGAGGAAGGAGAAGUCGUAACAAGGUAACGGUAGGUGAACCUGCCGUUGGAUC
RNAcentral lists this ribosomal RNA (739 nucleotides) under Trichomonas vaginalis G3. RNAcentral's name for it is "16S ribosomal RNA". It matches the Rfam family "Eukaryotic small subunit ribosomal RNA", at positions 1030 to 1827 of the family's 1831-position model. The record is from RNAcentral. Lineage: Eukaryota; Parabasalia; Trichomonadida; Trichomonadidae.